AUGGAAAACUACUUCUCCGAGGUACCUACGUACCCUCCUCGUCUCUUCCGCAGAAGGUACCGAAUGCGGCAUAGUUUGUUUGUGAAGAUUGUCACCGGUUGUGAGGCCGCCUCAUAUUACUUUAAACGUCGUAGAUCCGCCGCCGGUAUCAUGGGGUUUAGUGCAGAUCAAAAGAUAUCGGCGGCAAUGCGGGUACUCGCUUAUGGCAUACCCGCGGAUUAUACCGACGAUUAUUGUUUUAUGCCAAUUGUGAUGGAAUUUGUGAUAUGCCAUAUGAUGAAAUGUGUGCUAUAUGAAAUGACAACUUUAAAGAUUGGGGUUGAGGCAAAGACUAGAACCCUCAAAUCCAACCCUUAA
RNAcentral lists this ribosomal RNA (357 nucleotides) under Triticum aestivum (bread wheat). RNAcentral's name for it is "partial small subunit ribosomal RNA". Lineage: Eukaryota; Viridiplantae; Streptophyta; Magnoliopsida; Poales; Poaceae. The record is from RNAcentral.